UUCCCCUUCCUUUGGUGCAGCAGCAGCAGAUAUUUCCCAUGACUGAGUGAUGUAAGACUCAAAAAGUGAUGUCUUUCUGGGAUGAAAGCAAAGUUCGGCUUUUAUAUUAAUUGUGUUGUGAUUGGUGUAAAACAUUUGUGUAAAGUUUGACUUUGGCGGGACUACAUAUCAGUCAAAGUCAAAAUUUGCUUUAUUUCUUUGAUAUUCAAAUUUUGCAAUGUUUGAUUGUAGAAAGUAUCCCACCAAUUAUACAACAAAAUCAAUACUAUUAAAAUGGAAGGAGUUUUGAUAAAUCUACCUAUGAAAGUCAUUUUGGACCAUUUAUUUUUAUUUUUAUUUUUUUGGUCUUACCUUCUACAUGUAAUAAUAUGUGACAAGAUAUUUAACCUUAUAUAUGUGUCCGUUUUUUACUCUAACUACCAGACUGGUUACAUUAUUAUAAUUCUAAACCGUUUAAUGGAUUAGUAAACCAUCGUACCAAAACAAAAUAAAUUAUAAGAGCCACACACUAUUUCUAAACCGUGACAUAUUAUAGUUAUGAAACUAACAGUUUGUACCAAAAC
Molecule: long non-coding RNA, 563 nt
Filed under: Brassica napus (rape)
Lineage: Eukaryota; Viridiplantae; Streptophyta; Magnoliopsida; Brassicales; Brassicaceae
Description: long non-coding RNA (BNAP_LNC000878)
Source: RNAcentral